This 373-nucleotide ribosomal RNA is filed under the name uncultured eukaryote. RNAcentral's name for it is "partial 18S ribosomal RNA". It matches the Rfam family "Eukaryotic small subunit ribosomal RNA", at positions 592 to 976 of the family's 1831-position model. The record is from RNAcentral.
CAAUAGCGUAUAUUAAAGUUGUUGCAGUUAAAAAGCUCGUAGUUGGAUUUCUGGGAGGGUGCCAAUGUCCGCCGUCGUGCGUGCGCAGCGGCGCCCUUCCAUCCUUCUGUUAACGCCUCUUGGCAUUCAUUUGCUGGUGGCGGGCUCAGAUAUUUUACCUUGAGAAAAUUAGAGUGUUUCAGGCAGGCUAGGCCGGAAUACAUUAGCAUGGAAUAAUGGAAUAGGACUACGGUCUCGUUGUUGGUUUGAGGGACUGCAGUAAUGAUUAAUAGGGAUAGUUGGGGGCAUUAGUAUUUAAUUGUCAGAGGUGGAAUUCUCGGAUUUGUUAAAGACUAGCUUAUGCGAAAGCAUUUGCCAAGGAUGUUUUCAUUAA